This 433-nucleotide ribosomal RNA is filed under the name uncultured bacterium. Its description in RNAcentral is "partial 16S ribosomal RNA". It matches the Rfam family "Bacterial small subunit ribosomal RNA", at positions 29 to 507 of the family's 1533-position model. The record is from RNAcentral.
AGCGAACGCUGGCGGCAGGCCUAACACAUGCAAGUCGAACGAACUCUUCGGAGUUAGUGGCGGACGGGUGAGUAACACGUGGGAACGUGCCUUUUGGUUCGGAAUAACUCAGGGAAACUUGUGCUAAUACCGAAUGUGGACUUCGGGGGAAAGAUUUAUCGCCAUUAGAGCGGCCCGCGUCUGAUUAGCUAGUUGGUGAGGUAACGGCUCACCAAGGCGACGAUCAGUAGCUGGUCUGAGAGGAUGACCAGCCACACUGGGACUGAGACACGGCCCAGACUCCUACGGGAGGCAGCAGUGGGGAAUCUUGCGCAAUGGGCGAAAGCCUGACGCAGCCAUGCCGCGUGAAUGAUGAAGGUCUUAGGAUUGUAAAAUUCUUUCACCGGGGACGAUAAUGACGGUACCCGGAGAAGAAGCCCCGGCUAACUUCGUG